GGUUAAAAAGCUCGUAGUUGGAUCUCGCGGUCUGAGGGCGGUUCGCUUGAUUGAGUGCUACUGCUCUAUAGGCCGUGGUUUUGCCAGAGGUCUCGGGGUGCUCUUAACCGAGUGUCCUGCGAUGCUGGCAGGUUUACUUUGAAAAAAUUAGAGUGCUCAAAGCAGGCUUUUACGCCUGAAUAUUCGUGCAUGGAAUAAUAGAAUAGGAAGUCGUUUCUAUUUUGUUGGUUUUCGGAAAUCGACUUAAUGAUUAAUAGGGACAGUCGGGGGCAUUUGUAUUCAAACGACAGAGGUGAAAUUCUUGGACCGU
This 310-nucleotide ribosomal RNA is filed under the name uncultured marine eukaryote. RNAcentral describes it as "SSU rRNA". It matches the Rfam family "Eukaryotic small subunit ribosomal RNA", at positions 617 to 928 of the family's 1831-position model. The record is from RNAcentral.